AAUAACUAGUCAUGUAAUACUAUAAUAAAAUAUAUAAAAUAUUGAUAAUAAGCAUGAAAAAGAGAAAAAUAGAGAUAACUUUUGUAUUGAUGAGAUGAGAAAAAUGAUUACAACCAAUUAUAAUCACUUUUACCAACUAACUCUUGGAGCUGCUUCUCAGCUUUCACCGCCACAUUUGUAAUUCACAUAUGACACGCUAAUGACGAGAGGAAAGAGUUGGAUCAACAUAAUGGUUAUCAAAAUUAGUUUUCUGUUUUUUUAAUUUGUGUCGGGGCUAAAGGUGAACUUUAUUGAAGUUAAUGUAUCGAUAUCGUGGUUGGAAGAGGCGAUUAAUAUGCUUAAUUGCAAGAUGAG
Molecule: long non-coding RNA, 354 nt
Filed under: Cicer arietinum (chickpea)
Lineage: Eukaryota; Viridiplantae; Streptophyta; Magnoliopsida; Fabales; Fabaceae
Description: long non-coding RNA (CARI_LNC001329)
Source: RNAcentral